UACGAAGGGGGCUAGCGUUGUUCGGAAUCACUGGGCGUAAAGCGCACGUAGGCGGCGCGUUAAGUCAGGGGUGAAAUCCUGGAGCUCAACUCCAGAACUGCCUUCAAAACUGGUAGGCUCGAGUCCGGAAGAGGGGCGUGGAAUUCCCAGUGUAGAGGUGAAAUUCGUAGAUAUUAGGAAGAACACCAGUGGCUAAGGCGGAUCACUGGUCCGGUUCUGACGCUGAGGUGCGAAAGCAUGGGGAGCAAACAGG
This 253-nucleotide ribosomal RNA is filed under the name uncultured bacterium. Its description in RNAcentral is "partial 16S ribosomal RNA". It matches the Rfam family "Bacterial small subunit ribosomal RNA", at positions 524 to 776 of the family's 1533-position model. The record is from RNAcentral.